RNAcentral lists this long non-coding RNA (1490 nucleotides) under Macaca fascicularis (crab-eating macaque). RNAcentral's name for it is "lncRNA (ENSMFAG00000064136.1)". Lineage: Eukaryota; Metazoa; Chordata; Mammalia; Primates; Cercopithecidae. The record is from RNAcentral.
AUUUUUCCCUAAGGGAAGUUAGAAACUGAGUUUCUCUUUAGGGGAACGUCUUUGCAGCGUCUGUUUGAAUGUUCUCCAGGUGUGGAAUACUCAGGGCCGUGUGUGUUUGGGAACAUCCGUGUCCUGAGCGAAUUCAGUAGGGAAUGGAGAGAGGCCUCCUGUCAGCUUGGCCUCUGUUUUGAGUUUGUGAGGGUUGACGGCUGCUGGUAUGCCAGGGAGAGUAAAACACUGGGCGCCGUGGGAUGGGAAUGUUCGCUCUGACAAGAUCUAUACAACCUGGCGUUUGGCCGUGGCUUCCAGGACAGGCUGGAUGCAGAGUGAAGUCCUCUCCUCACUGUCAAUGUUUGCAGAUGUCUUCUUGUAUAAACUUCGUAUUUCUUGAGACUUUCAAUUAGGUUUUUACUUAACUGGACUUUUAAAAUUGCCAUGCACAUAACUCUACCAGUUACAAUCUUGAGCUAACAUGGGUUUUGGUUUUGGUUUUGGUUUUACUUUGAUGAAUGUUUAACAUUUGCAUGCUGGAUGUGGGGGUGGAGGUCAUUUAUCUGCUUUUCAUUGCCUUCUUGGUUAUACUUAGUGACUUUCAGGUAAGGUGUGGAAGGCGUGGUACAGGGUGAAUUGCAGGCCGCACUGUGGCGCCGUGGAGGACAGGUGCGGGCUGCAGUGGUGUGCACAGUGGAUGAGAGACAAGAGGAGACUUCCAUCCUUGAGGGAAACACACAACAAUUUAAAAAACUGAUCGUCUAGCUUACAUGAGGUCCAACAAAUUCAGUUUGCAAAGUUUAACUUCCAAGUUAAUUUAGUAAUUUUUCCCCUAAGUCAUUAAUUUAGUAGCUUAUGUUUAAAUAUAUUUCUUUUGUCUAAAGGAGGCCAUAAAUUCUAAAAUGAAUGACUAAACAUGUAAUAAUUUAGGCAUACAGCACCUGAAGGGAAAACUGCCAGUAUGCUAAAAUAUUGGAUACAGAUGCUUUUAAAAAAUAUAAUGUAGCAUUCUUACAAUGCAUGUGCUCUUAGCGUGUAACUUGGUGGGUAGUUUUGAACUAUAUUUGUGGGAAUGUGUAUCUUGAAUACUUGAGGCUACCACUGCAGAUGUGUGUGUGAGAUGUAUAAAUACUGAAUGUUAUUCUCCCUUCCCUUAAAUGGAAAACAUUAGCUCCCUUUUAUUUCCAUUUUAUUUUUAUUUUUGAAGUGGACUCUUGCUCGUUGCCCAGGCUGGAGUGCAAUGGCACAAUCUCGGCCCACUGCAAUUUCUGCUUCCCGGGUUGAAGUGAUUCUCCUCUCUCAGCCUCCUGAGUAGCUGGGACUACAGGCACCCGCCACCACGCCCAGCUAAUUUUUGUAUUUUUAUUAGAGAUGGAGUUUUGCCAUAUUGGCCAGGCUGGUCUUAAACUCCUGACUUCAGGUGAUCUGCCCACCCCGACCUCCCAAAGUGCUGGGAUUACAGGCGUGAGCCACCGUGCCCAGCCAGCUCCCUUGUGUAAUGAUUUUUA